This 207-nucleotide ribosomal RNA is filed under the name uncultured bacterium. Its description in RNAcentral is "partial 16S ribosomal RNA". It matches the Rfam family "Bacterial small subunit ribosomal RNA", at positions 568 to 774 of the family's 1533-position model. The record is from RNAcentral.
CGCGUAGGCGGUUUUAUAAGUCAGAUGUGAAAGUCCAUGGCUCAACUGUGGAAGUGCAUUUGAAACUGUGAAGCUUGAGUAUCGGAGGGGAGUGUGGAAUUCCCGGUGUAGAGGUGAAAUUCGUAGAGAUCGGGAGGAACACCGGUGGCGAAGGCGACACUCUGGACGAAUACUGACGCUGAGGCGCGAAAGCGUGGGGAGCAAACA